UACAGAGGGUGCGAGCGUUAAUCGGAAUUACUGGGCGUAAAGCGUGCGCAGGCGGCUAUGCAAGACAGAUGUGAAAUCCCCGGGCUCAACCUGGGAACUGCAUUUGUGACUGCAUGGCUAGAGUACGGUAGAGGGGGAUGGAAUUCCGCGUGUAGCAGUGAAAUGCGUAGAUAUGCGGAGGAACACCGAUGGCGAAGGCAAUCCCCUGGACCUGUACUGACGCUCAUGCACGAAAGCGUGGGGAGCAAACGGG
RNAcentral lists this ribosomal RNA (253 nucleotides) under uncultured bacterium. Its description in RNAcentral is "partial 16S ribosomal RNA". It matches the Rfam family "Bacterial small subunit ribosomal RNA", at positions 524 to 776 of the family's 1533-position model. The record is from RNAcentral.